Long non-coding RNA from Cydia splendana, 306 nucleotides. RefSeq lists it as uncharacterized. The transcript is spliced from 2 exons. The record is from RefSeq and is a predicted model, not a curated record. NCBI's taxonomy places the organism in Eukaryota, Metazoa, Arthropoda, Insecta, Lepidoptera, Tortricidae.
AGUUAUUUGUUUUACAAGGGGGCAAAGUUGUUGUUUAACCGCUCGUGCUAAUAUUGAUACCCGAGCAAGCGAAAGAUUCCAAAAUCUAGUUCGAACAAUGGAAUCUUGAGCGUUGCGAGGGUUUCAAGGCACGAGGGUUAAACAAAUUUUGCCACCGAGUGACACACAACAUUUUUCACCACACCAACACAAGGAAAAAACUAACUGUGAAAUAUCAAACAAAAUCAAAGCAAAUCGAUUCAAAAUUAAUUUUAUUGAAUAUUGAUCAUUCAAAAUCAUCAUUUAAAAGUCAAUUUUACCAGCAAA